GGUCUUGUAGCCGAGUGGAUAGCGGCGCAAGUAUUAUGUCGCAUGACAUAAGCUGGUAAUCCUUGGUUCGAAUCCCAGCAGGGCCU
Molecule: non-coding RNA, 86 nt
Organism: Mycena capillaripes
Lineage: Eukaryota; Fungi; Basidiomycota; Agaricomycetes; Agaricales; Mycenaceae
Source: the annotation of a GenBank genome assembly